UUUAGUAAGGCCUACUUCUAAGAGCGUAACGUCUAGGUGUUUUUGUUAUUUUUAAAGAGUUCUCAUAUUCUUGUCUAUCUUCUGGGGAUAACUUUGCAAGUUUUUCCGGCUUCAUUGGAAUAUAUUUUGGUCGGUCGCUCAAUAUAAAACGUUCAUAAUCCUCUCUUGCUUCCGGAGUCAUUCGCGCUAGGUCACGUUCGGUCCAAUCUGCCGGAUAUUUUAUUUGUCCAUUUUUGGUGUGAACUCCAAUCCACCCUUCUUAGUGUUAGACGUACCAUACGAACAUAGCUCGCAGAAACCAAUGACAUGCGAAAACAGUAGAGGUGACUGUUCAUCACAUAUCAUACAUUGAGCGUCUUUGCCCCAGUAGAAAUCUUUCCACGAACAUCUUGGGCACUUCAUUAAGUAUACAAUGUGACCAGUUUCUUCACCACAAUGGUUACAAGCUAGUUUCUCGGGCUCACCAUCAUCCUCAUUAUCAUCAUCCUCAUUAUCAUCAUAUUCGCUUUCAUUAUCAUUCUUGUCAGAUUCCCUGUUCUCUUCAUCAGAUUCGCUUUCAACAUCACUCUCAGAUUGUGGCAUUUCAUGUUCCUCCUUUGCCAUUUUUGACAAUAAAUGCUCAUUUUUAAUUAAAUCUUUAUUAACCCCUGCUUCUACUAAACCUUUUGUAAACAGGUCAAGCCCUCGUGGUUCAGGAAUGUGAGAGUUGUAUGGUAAAAGUGCGUAUUGUAAAAGGUUCUCGAUGUUAGUACGAGCAAUGUCUCUUCCAUGAUAAACAAUCUCCCCCUGAGGAUUCCAAGUUAAUAGAUCACUUGAUAUAAGAAUAGAAUGUAGAAUUUUUUCUGCUGUAGCUUUUUUGACAUUAUUGUUGAGAUACAAAAGUAUAUCUUCAAUGCGCUAAUGUCGCGGAGAUGUUUUACUCUCGAUGUUCAUUGUUGAAAUGAUGUAUAAAUUGUAGUCACAGGGCUUUUAUACAAGUUCAGCCAGGCUUUCCAAAAUAGGACUUAGUAAUAGUCCAAGGAAACCUUCACCACGUUGAACGAGUAUCCGUUUUUUUCUUCUUCCACAUUUUCCUCUAUCUGCCAACCUAAGCAUUUCAUUUUUGUAAGGUCGGAGUUUCUUCAUCACAUGCUUCGGCAUUAAAUAUUUUCUUUUCAUAACGUUUUCUACACAGAAACACAGGCAGUGUACUUGUUCGGCGCUUGCUGUUUCCAGUAGUGCUUGUUGUUGAUCAGGCUCGGACGUGCCCAACAAUUCAAGAUAUGGCUUGUGCCUUAGAAGAUUGAUCAUUUCUGUUCGACGGUUUGGAAGCAAAUGAGUAAAACACAACAAUAAGGAAGCUUAUAUCGGAAGAGAGAAAGCAAUUUAUACAAGGCUCCGAGUUAUUGAGAGCUUGACUCUGAGCUUAUCGAACCUGGCUCCUUGUGCAUGUCAGAUAAGGAAGAUAAGAGGAUAAAUAUAAGGAAGAUAAGGAUAAGGAAGAUAAGAAGAUAAAGAUAGGAAGAUAAAGAUAAGAAGAUAAAGAUAACGAUAACGAUAAAGAAGAUAAAGAUAAGGAUAAAGAUAAGAAGAUAAAGAUAAGGAUAAAGAUAAGAAGAUUAGGAUAAAGAUAAGGAAGAUAAAGAUAAGGAAGAUUAAAGAUAAGGAUAAGGAACAUAAAGAUUAAGAUAAGGAUAAAGAUAAGGAAGAUAAAGAUAAGGAUAAAAAUAAAGAUAAGGAUAAGGAUAAAGAUAAGAGGAUAAAGAUAAAGAUAAGGAAGAUAAGGAAGAUAAAGAAAAGGAAGA
This is a non-coding RNA of Paramuricea clavata, 1784 nucleotides long. The record is from the annotation of a GenBank genome assembly. Lineage: Eukaryota; Metazoa; Cnidaria; Anthozoa; Malacalcyonacea; Plexauridae.